UGAGAGGAGUCAACUUUAGUACGAGAGGAUUGGGUUGGACGUACCCCUGGUGAUCCAGCUGGACUGCUAAGUCCAUCGCUGGGUAGCUACGUACGGCAGGGAUAACCGCUGAAAGCAUCUAAGCGGGAAGCCCCCCUCAAAACUAGGCUUGCUUGAGACCCCUGGAAGACCACCAGGUUGAUAGGACGCGCGUGCAAGGGCAGAGAUGCCCUCAGCGGAGCGUUACUAACGGUCGAUGAUCACGCCAAC
RNAcentral lists this ribosomal RNA (249 nucleotides) under Phycisphaerales bacterium. RNAcentral's name for it is "partial 23S ribosomal RNA". It matches the Rfam family "Bacterial large subunit ribosomal RNA", at positions 2663 to 2925 of the family's 2925-position model. The record is from RNAcentral. Lineage: Bacteria; Pseudomonadati; Planctomycetota; Phycisphaerae; Phycisphaerales.